Molecule: long non-coding RNA, 430 nt
Organism: Limulus polyphemus (Atlantic horseshoe crab)
Lineage: Eukaryota; Metazoa; Arthropoda; Merostomata; Xiphosura; Limulidae
Exons: 2
Source: RefSeq, a predicted model, not a curated record
AAUUCAACGUGUCUAACACGUGCUAACGGUCUACACUAUCAACGACACGCGACAGACACAUUACUACCCCGUGCUUAUGGAAAUACUGUAUACGCAGAGAUUUCUCGAAGCGAAAAUGGGAUCUAAAGAGAACAUGUGAUAUUCAAUCCUCGUCAAUCGCACAUAAUAAUUAAGAAAGCCUAUCAAACGAAAGAUGACGAGGACAGGUGAUAUUUGUGGCAAGGUCUCUUGAUAGAAAGUGUGGGAAAGUCGCGACAGCUGCGUUCACAAGGUCAACGAAAUUGAAAGCAUUGACAACCAUAACCAUUCCAAUAACAAAUUAUGAUGUUAAUGGAAAACUAGAGAGUCCAAAGUCCAGCGAGUGUAUUUAAAACUGUAAAGGCCUGAUGACAAUUCAGAAGUGUAGCAAAUAAAAUCAUUGACUGUUUAA